Molecule: unclassified non-coding RNA, 162 nt
Filed under: uncultured fungus
Lineage: Eukaryota; Fungi
Description: sequence contains ITS1, 5.8S rRNA gene
Source: RNAcentral
CUUUCAGUACUUGGGGGCUAUAAGUCUAUAUCACUAUAGCUUGCCUCUACCUGAACCCUUGUCUUUUGCGUACCUAUGUUUCCUCGGCGGGCUUGCCCGCCGGCUGGACAAACUUAUAACCUUUUUAAUUUUCAAUCAGCGUCUGAAUAAAUAUAAUAAUUA